CUCAGGGACCCCCAGAAGGAGUUCAGGGCCCCCCAAAUAGAGCUUAGAGACCCCAGGAGUUGCUCAGGGACCCCAAGGAGGAACUCGAGUCCCCCAGGAGGAGCUCAAGGACCCCCAUGGCGGACCUCAAGAACCCGAGGACCCCCAUAAGGAGCCACUGGGCGCCCCGUAGAGCACCAAGGACAGCUCUCGAGCAACCUGGGGACCCCCCCCCCUCCCCACCUUACUGCCCCC
This 234-nucleotide long non-coding RNA is filed under the name Gallus gallus (chicken). Lineage: Eukaryota; Metazoa; Chordata; Aves; Galliformes; Phasianidae. The record is from RNAcentral.